AACGCACCUUGCGCUCCUUGGUAUUCCGAGGAGCAUGCCUGUUUGAGUGUCAUUAAAUUCUCAACCAUUAUUAGCUUGUGCUGAUGAUGGCUUGGAUAUGGGGGUUUAUUUUGCUGGCUUCUUCACAGAUUGUCAGCUCCCCUUAAAUGCAUUAGCCGGUGCCCCGCGUGGACUGUCUAUUGGUGUGAUAAUUAUCUACGCCGUGGACAUCUACAAUCAUAUGGGUUUGCACUGCUUCCAACCGUCUGUUUAUUCAGACAAUACAUGACAAUUUGACCUCAAAUCAGGUAGGACUACCCGCUGAACUUAA
This 310-nucleotide unclassified non-coding RNA is filed under the name uncultured Hebeloma. RNAcentral's name for it is "sequence contains ITS2". The stretch from base 1 to 52 matches the Rfam family "5.8S ribosomal RNA", at positions 103 to 154 of the family's 154-position model. Lineage: Eukaryota; Fungi; Basidiomycota; Agaricomycetes; Agaricales; Cortinariaceae. The record is from RNAcentral.